UACGUAGGGUGCAAGCGUUGUCCGGAAUUAUUGGGCGUAAAGAGCUCGUAGGCGGUCUGUCGCGUCGGCUGUGAAAUCCCGGAGCUCAACUCCGGGUCUGCAGUCGAUACGGGCAAACUGGAGUACUGCAGGGGAGACUGGAAUUCCUGGUGUAGCGGUGGAAUGCGCAGAUAUCAGGAGGAACACCGGUGGCGAAGGCGGGUCUCUGGGCCGACAUUGACGCUGAGGAGCGAAAGCGUGGGGAGCGAACAGG
Molecule: ribosomal RNA, 253 nt
Filed under: uncultured bacterium
Lineage: Bacteria
Description: partial 16S ribosomal RNA
Rfam family: Bacterial small subunit ribosomal RNA
Source: RNAcentral